Molecule: long non-coding RNA, 237 nt
Filed under: Setaria viridis
Lineage: Eukaryota; Viridiplantae; Streptophyta; Magnoliopsida; Poales; Poaceae
Description: long non-coding RNA (SVIR_LNC007598)
Source: RNAcentral
GGAGGCGGGGCCAACGGAGGCGGCAGGGCCGGGCGUUGGAGGCGGGGUUGGCGGAGGCGGCGGGGUCUGGCUGUGGCGGAACCGUCCAAAUUAACUUAGCUAAAACACAUUUAAGUCGCCUAACAUGCGAUCAUGUACUUUAAUCAAGUUAACUUGGUAGUCCGUCAGAUUUCAUCCGAUAAACCACUUAACACAGGAUCGAGAAAGCGUAGCUCACACAAAGGUGAGUGGUUCCAG